AGCAACAUCUCUGACAUGUACCCACUGUCAUGAAAAUAGUACCUCAUGUGAAGCUCCAGGAAGUCAUGGCUGCCGUGAUGAUCAAACCUGUUCCUCUGGUGCUCUGCAUAACAACAUAGGUGAGCUGAAUCUUCUCACUUACUUUUGGUCACUUCAAGGAUUGAGUUUCUUGUGUAAAUUAGCAUUAUUUAUUAUUUAUUUAUUUAUUGCCUUUAUAUCCCAACUUUUCUCCAAGGAGCACAAGGUGGCGUAUAUGGUUCUUCUCUUAUGCAUUUCACCUUGUGAGGGAUAUUAAGCUGAGAGGCAGGGACUCCCCAAGGUCACUCAGUGAGCUUCAUGGCUAAGUGGGGAUUUGAACCCUGGCAUCUCAGAUUCUAGUCUAGUCCAACACUCAGCAUCAAUACUCAGCCACAUAACCUUACUCCAGCCUUCCUAUUCUCUUUCCAUCACAUGCAGGCUUCAUCAGAGAGAACCUGGCAUGCAUCAGGCUGGGGUUUUGGCCCUUUAGAAAUUUCUGGACUACUGCUCCCAUCCACCUCAGCCAGUGUGGUCAAUUGAUAGAGAUGGUGCAAGCUGUAGUUCAGUAAAUUCUUUGCUUAUUGUAAAUCACUCUACGUGGGGCUGCCCUUGAAACUGACCCAGAAACUCCAGCUAGUGCAGAAUGCAGCAGCAAGACUCCUUACGGGGUCCUCGCCACGGGAUCACAUUCACCCACUGCUAUACCAGCUGCACUAGCUCCCAGUGGAGUACAGGAGCAGGUUUAAGGUGCUGGUUUUAACCUUUAAAGCCAUAUAUGGUCUAGGACCCUCGUACCUACGGGACCACCUCUCCUGGUAUGUCCCACAGAGGACCUUACAGUAUUCAAAUAAAUUUUGGGGGGAGAUUCCGGGCCACAGGGAGGUUAGACUGGCCUCGGCCAGAACCAGGGAUUUUUCAGCUGUGGCCCAGAUCUGGUGGAACACUCUACCACAAGAAAUUAGGGACUUGACAUCUUUCCGUAGGCCUGCAAGACAGAGCUGUUCCACCAGGCCUUUGACCAAGGCACAGUCUGUAAUCUUCAUAGAACUCUAACUCGAUGGUUGCCAUUAAUUUGAUUCUGAACUGAUUCUAGAAUGUAUUUUAAUUAAUUGACUGUGCUAUUUUAUGUACACUGUGCUAUUUUUACCUGUUGUUAGCCACUCUGAGCCCGACUUUGGCCAGGGAGGCUGCAAUACGAAAUUAUUAUUAUUAUUAUUAUUAUUAUUAUUAUUAUUAGCCACAAAUUAGCCAUCACUGCAUUUACUAGCAGUCCACGCUACACCAGAAGCAGUGAACUCUGGUUUGGUUUUGGUUUGCCUUCCAUCAUAAGGCAAGGUAUUAAGUUUAAUAUAUUAUUACAAAUUCAAUGCAAGGAUCAUUUUGGGCACCUACAAGUUCUUUCUCUCUUUGCUCUCACGCCAGCUGUUCCAGAUGAGAUAUUACAACGGGGGGAAAGGUUUUCUAGCUACCCUAUCUCUCCUUCUUGCAUUACUCCUACUAACAUCCUGUGAAAGAAGAGGUGUGAUAUGAUGUCAUCCUCAGAGACCCCGCCGCCUUCAAAUUUUUGCAGGGUGGUGGGACACUCACUGUUCAAUGACACUAAGACUAAGCCAUGCAUCUUCACUGUCUGUGAAUUUUGGAGCAAUUCAUGGGAUUGUUGGCUCAAGAGCAGCCACAUCUUCAUUUUAUCUUGAGCGUCUUGUGAUUUAAGAAUGCAAUGAAGGGCCAUAUGGUUCUUUGGCUUCAUAAUAGUUCCUGGGACAUUGGUCAUUUCUAGGUUUCAGCUUUCAGUUCUCACCUUGCUUGCAUGCCCAUCUGAGAAAUCAGGUGACUUUUUCAUCUGCUACAUCUUUCAACUAGAAUCUUCCAGACAGACAGAUCUAUUCCAGUCUCUGCUAAGGGUAGGUGAAUUUGUCAAUUUUUGUUACUCUCACUUUCUCAUUCUCCCCAAACUUCAAUUUCUGCACAGUAAAUAAUUAAAUAAAUAAAUAACUCAUUAAAAUGUACCACCAUUUAAGAGCAAUUUUCUCCUCAAAAAUAUUUUCAUGCAGUUGCAAACCAUUUUGCCUAAUACAAAGUAACUCUGUUGGUUGUUUUAACUCAUGUAGCUGGGUGGCAUUCAACUAAGUCAGGGGUCAGCAAGGCUUAAGAAACAUAAGAGACUUGUGGAUUUAGAAGGAUAAUCGUGUUUUGGUUCAUUUUCUUGGUUCAAAAACUGUGCAUUAUGUAGUUUCUCACUGAAGAAUAAAAUGUAGUAAAAGGGAAGUAUCAUUGAAAAUAUAUACAUUUAGAGGAAUUAACCAGAGUUUUUGCAGAUCUUGUGAUUUAUUUCCUUUUGUUCUUUUCAGUUCCAGAGUAUGAAGUGUCAACUUUCCAGGGAUGUGUUUAUUCCAAAUUAUGCCACUCAGGUGAUUACAGCUUCAGUGCAGCUAAAGGUAAAUUCCUCCAGCUGAAGGUCUACUGCUGCAAAACAAAUGAGUGCAACAAGGAACCUGUCCACCGUGAGUAUCUGCAUCUCUGAAGGUUAAGGGCUUAUAAAAACAGUGCUUUUUCUGGCAGAACAUGAUGGAACACAGUUCUGCCACCUUUUGGGGGGAAGGAUGCAGGAGGGCUCUGGGACCCCAUCAGAUCACCUCCUUUCCUAAGCUAGGCAAAUUCUCCUCAUGCUUGGGAAAGCAGGCAUGAGUCUUAGACAGGAUCCUGGAACCUGCUGCCUCCUUCCCAAAUCCAGAUGGGCUUUGGGAAGGUGGUGGGAGCACUCUUGGCCCCAUCAGAGAAUCACACCAACUUACCUAAGCUGAGCAAUGCAUCCCAGACUUAGGGAAGGAGGCACUAGGCUGUGACAGUAGCCAGGAACCUUGCUUUCUCCUACCCAAAGCCACCCAUCUCCGGUAGAGGGGGCUCGGUGUCAGAGUGCUCAGGCCAGUAAGUCAAGGACGGGGGCUUCCCUGUGGGGCUGGUAAUUGGUUUGCCACCCUUGAUGCAUUGUAAGUGUGCCAACUGCCUUUCAAGGCCCAUUCACUUGGAGUAUCUUCUGAGUAGACAUUUGUAGAAGUGUUAGAAAUCCUUUGACACAUCACUUUAUUUAAUUAAAUUAAAUACACUGCUUGAUUGUAAAAAAAUAAAAAUAAAAAUCCAAAAAAGUUAAAAUAACAAUAAAAUAAAAGCAUAUUAAAACUUGCAUCUAUUGUAUAAACAUGGAUAGGCUUGUUUCAAUGUUUAUAGCAGGCACCCACUUUUGUUUCUAGAAAAAAAGCACUGUAUGAACCAAUGAUAUCCAGUGUGUCAAUUAGUUACAAGAAAAGUAUAGAAUUCUGUCUUUUGGUCCAUUCAGAUGCGGGGUGCAAGGGACUAAGAAGUAUCUAUGGUUGAUCCUUGAAUCUGGAAUGAGUGGAGUAGAUGAUCACUUCCUUACAUACAUCUAUCACAUUUCAAACAAGCAGUCAUUGGACUGAAGGAAGAGAAGUAGAAAUAUGGGAAAUAUGGGCAUUGCUCUCCCCAAUGUGGAUUCUGGGCCUGCCCACUACUUGCUUGCACACACACACACACAGAGAGAGAGAGAGAGAGAGAGAGAGAGAGAGAGAUUACAUCCAAGAGAAUGCAGCUGUCUGUACCUUCAGAUACAGAGAGUUAGAAUCAGAGAGCAGAUAGCUAGCCUGAUACAUUUCUACCAUGUGAGAACUCCAGAAAAUACACAAAAAAUAGUGUGCAUGACAAAAGGUGAAAGACAAAAACAUUUUUAUAGAUGCUCAGCAGAGGUGCCUGUUCUGCAAAGUUGAUGGCAAAUGUAGGACACGAUGUGGAGGUAGCAUGUCCAGCUAGGGUCAGAAGUUACUAAAAGGCAUGAAAAAAAAUCAAAAUAAAGGUACAAUAAAGAGACUGGGGAAUGAGGUGUAUCCAUAUGCUGACUGUAGGUUUUUAUUUUGGUAGUUACACCACGUGAAGAUCUUUCCCCCAAUGGUCUACAGUGCACAGCCUGCUUCAGAAAGACCGAUUUUUCCGGCAAAACAGGUUGCCCACGUGAGGGGACUGUCAGCUGCCUUGCCAAUGAGACCAAGUGCAUUAACUAUUCUAGCAGGAUGAUAUGUGAGUAAUAUUGCCAAUGGGGCAAGAAACUCAGCUCCUCUCUGUCUCUUUCUCACUUCAAGAAAAGUAAUGACUGAUAUUAUUUUGCAUUUUAUUUAUGAUAGGUGUGUAUAGCUUUGAUUUCUUUCUCUGAGGGAAAGGGCAAUAAUCUAGUCCUGUUCUGGAUUCCAUACUAUCUGCAUAUGAAUUGCAUAAGAACUGGAGGGGACAGGCUCACUCAAGGGUAGGGUUUUACCUUGUGUGAGACUGGGAAGCCUACAAAAGUACAGCACACUCCUUACAGCACACCUUUUUCCUCAAAUGCACAAGGUGCAUCAGAGCAGAGGGAUACAAGGGAGGGUGCAGGACCAGCCAGCACAUCACUGCUUCUCCUCACAACAGUAUGCACCAUUGGGUGCUGGUCCAGGAGUACCCACCCACCUUGGCCAAACAUUCAAAAGUAAAGGAGGCUGGGAGAAAGGAGGACACUACUAGUGCAUCUCUCUUCAUCUAUCUUCAUAAUUAAGUUGCAUUGUGUUUAUUGAAACUUAUUGCAUCACAAGUGUGCAAAAGAACUGCAGCCUUAGUCUAGCAAAAUACAUGGGGUGGGAGACCAGGGCUUUUUUUCAGCCAAAACUCAUUUCCAGCAACUCUCAGGUAGGCCCCAUUGCCAUUCUAAGAGAACAAGGGAGGCACUCAUGUUGAGUUCCGGCACCUCUUUUUCUAGAAAAAUAGCACUAUGGCAGAGGGUAACUUCCUGUUCACAAUGCAUCACCAUGGUGUUAGCCAGGAAACUCAAAUUCAAAGCAAAUAAUCAGCAGGCAAUCCAAUUCUCUCCUUUCUUCUUUUACAGCACAGCAUAAACUCAAGACAGACUGAAAAGGAAGGUCCCUGCCAAAGGGGAAGCUUGCAGGCUCUGUGUUUGGCAGGGAUCAACUGUAAUAUUGAGAACUUGAUCCCAAUGCCAGCACAGCUUCCUGUUGUUGCCACUUAGCUGCUGAACAUUGGAAGCAAACUUUGCUUUGAACAAGGGGUUCAGCUGAUUGGCUGUGACUGCAAGCCCUCCUCUCAAGCAAAUGAUUCAGAGUAGUUUCCAAGAUUCCCAGUUGUUCUGCUGCUGCAGUGAAUUUACCUGCCACAUAUCUCAUGUAAUACAGUGUUAGUGUAAGUCAAGUGGAUGUUGCUUGGGUAGAAUGGUCACAUUAGGCCACCUGGUGGGCUUAAUUUGGCUCACAAGGUAAGACUAGUGAUAGUUGGCUGUCAGAUUAAUCCUACAGGGUUGUAAACAUACUGAGCUUUAAUAAUCACAGUCAUCCUUAUCCCCAAGGCCCCAGAACUCAUGCAAAGCUUCUCCUUUUUAUUACACAGAUCAUAAUAAGACAGCUAAUAGACUCCAAUUCAAAGGCUGUGCAACUGAAGACUUGUGUGCCCUUGAUGGAAAAAACCUUGAAUAUGGUCACCUGCUAGUCCAAGGAAUUAAAGCAAAAUGCUGGAAUGCUGCAAUAUCAUCAAAGCAAAUUGAUCUUGAAGGGUAGAUACAAGACAGCAAAGCUCUCCUCCUUGUUAAUUCCACCAUUCAUGGUAGCUGCAG
RNAcentral lists this long non-coding RNA (5674 nucleotides) under Podarcis lilfordi (Lilford's wall lizard). The record is from RNAcentral. Lineage: Eukaryota; Metazoa; Chordata; Lepidosauria; Squamata; Lacertidae.